ACUGCUAGCUAUAGCGCCCCUGUUUGUACCGUUACCUAUAUGCGCUGCAAAACCACACUGCGUACGAUUAUCGUCUGAGAAUUUUAUUUAGUUAUUUACCGUCGUAUUAAAGGAAUUGCCACAAAAUCACAAAGUACACAGUUUACAAGUAACAAAUUACUAGAAAUUCCUUUGCCAUCCUAUUUCAUUUACCUAGUUUAAUUUGGCUAGGCAAAAAACACUGGAUAUUGUCAAAAUUGUUUUUUAUGGUAAAGAUCGUCGUCCAAGUCGGCCUUCCAUUUGGCCGCCUGCUUCAUUUCUUCAUGCAUCUGGGGCGUAAUUUUAGAGGCAAAAAAUGCCAAUGGCACUAAAAAAUGAUUAAAUUACCUAAAAGCUAUAGAAAUUAAUAACAGCACUUACAAUUUGCCUGCUGAGCGCUGCGACGCAAAAACGCGAUGGUGUCCGCAUCCAGAUUCAAUCUGCGGAUUUCUUCUGGAAGGUCGCUGUCCUCCGGAAUGGUGGAUGAAAUCUCGUUGCUUUGCUGGCUGGCCAUGUUGUUGGAAAUCUUGAAGUUGCAGACUGGAGAUGACUGACUGAAUUCAUUCUCACUAGCACAGACUUAUGAGCUAGAAAAAUCUUUAACUGUCAACACGAUGGAACGUGAUGUUCCAUCACUUUCUAUUGAACAAUCGCAUUGGAAUGCAUACGUUUUCGAUUGCGAUUCUCCCUAAAAUACAAUAUCUCUAAUUUUACGCUUAAACGUUAGAAAAUUUAGCAGGUACCUAUAAAUAUGAGUUGUAUGUAUUUGUAAAUGAAGUGUAAUGGUGAUGUUUGUGAUUUGGCUGGCCGUGCUAUUGUGAUAUCAUUUCCUUGUUUGGCGCGUCUGUUGAGCGUGUGUGCGUGUACAUCUGUGGCCAGAAAAAGUUCCUGGCGGCACUACGCACAUUUUUUCCGCACGAACUCUACCGUUAUUACCUGCGGGAUAGCGAUACUAUUAGGAACACCAUCUAACCACACACACAGCAUUGCGUGAACGUCUACGACGAUAAUUUACCACAAUUACAACGGACUACGACCAUUUCAAGCGCCAAAGCUGACAUCACGACUGUGCUAGCAUCAUCACAACGUAAGUCCAUAUGGCUGAGCAGGAGCAAAGGUCAAAGCGGAAAAUGGAACCAACAGAGUAAGCUGAUUUCGUAAAAAUAUUCAGUGAAGCAAAAAGGUUUUUUAAAGCAUAAUUUAUACUUUUCUCGA
Molecule: long non-coding RNA, 1233 nt
Organism: Paramacrobiotus metropolitanus
Lineage: Eukaryota; Metazoa; Tardigrada; Eutardigrada; Parachela; Macrobiotidae
Exons: 4
Source: RefSeq, a predicted model, not a curated record